UACGUAGGGUGCAAGCGUUAAUCGGAAUUACUGGGCGUAAAGCGUGCGCAGGCGGUUGUGCAAGACCGAUGUGAAAUCCCCGGGCUUAACCUGGGAAUGGCAUUGGUGACUGCACGGCUAGAGUGUGUCAGAGGGGGGUAGAAUUCCACGUGUAGCAGUGAAAUGCGUAGAGAUCAGGAGGAAUACCGAUGGCGAAGGCAGGUCCCUGGGCUGACACUGACGCUCAUGCACGAAAGCGUGGGGAGCAAACAGG
RNAcentral lists this ribosomal RNA (253 nucleotides) under uncultured bacterium. RNAcentral's name for it is "partial 16S ribosomal RNA". It matches the Rfam family "Bacterial small subunit ribosomal RNA", at positions 524 to 776 of the family's 1533-position model. The record is from RNAcentral.